AUCCUACGGGAGGCAGCAGUGGGGAAUAUUGGACAAUGGGCGAAAGCCUGAUCCAGCAAUGCCGCGUGAGUGAUGAAGGCCUUAGGGUUGUAAACUGCUUUUAUGUGCGAAGAAUAUGACGGUAACACAUGAAUAAGGAUCGGCUAACUCCGUGCCAGCAGCCGCGGUAAUAAU
Molecule: ribosomal RNA, 174 nt
Filed under: uncultured bacterium
Lineage: Bacteria
Description: partial 16S ribosomal RNA
Rfam family: Bacterial small subunit ribosomal RNA
Source: RNAcentral